AAAUUGAAGAGUUUGAUCAUGGCUCAGAUUGAACGCUGGCGGCAGGCCUAACACAUGCAAGUCGAACGGUAACAGGAAGCAGCUUGCUGCUUCGCUGACGAGUGGCGGACGGGUGAGUAAUGUCUGGGAAACUGCCUGAUGGAGGGGGAUAACUACUGGAAACGGUAGCUAAUACCGCAUAAUGUCGCAGGACCAAAGAGGGGGACCUUCGGGCCUCUUGCCAUCAGAUGUGCCCAGAUGGGAUUAGCUUGUUGGUGAGGUAACGGCUCACCAAGGCGACGAUCCCUAGCUGGUCUGAGAGGAUGACCAGCCACACUGGAACUGAGACACGGUCCAGACUCCUACGGGAGGCAGCAGUGGGGAAUAUUGCACAAUGGGCGCAAGCCUGAUGCAGCCAUGCCGCGUGUAUGAAGAAGGCCUUCGGGUUGUAAAGUACUUUCAGCGGGGAGGAAGGUGUUGUGGUUAAUAACCACAGC
This 476-nucleotide ribosomal RNA is filed under the name Salmonella enterica. RNAcentral's name for it is "bacterial SSU rRNA". It matches the Rfam family "Bacterial small subunit ribosomal RNA", at positions 1 to 473 of the family's 1533-position model. Lineage: Bacteria; Pseudomonadati; Pseudomonadota; Gammaproteobacteria; Enterobacterales; Enterobacteriaceae. The record is from RNAcentral.